CAUAUACUCCCUCUGUCCGAAAAAGCUUGUCUCUCAAAUGGAUGUAUCUCGCACCAAGUUAAUGUUGGAUACAUCCAUUUCAAGGACAAGUUUGGGACAAGUUUUUUCGGACGAUGGGAGUAGAUC
Molecule: non-coding RNA, 126 nt
Organism: Triticum aestivum (bread wheat)
Lineage: Eukaryota; Viridiplantae; Streptophyta; Magnoliopsida; Poales; Poaceae
Source: Rfam